GAUGAACGCUGGCGGCGUGCCUAAUACAUGCAAGUCGAGCGAACAGACGAGGAGCUUACUCCUCUGACGUUAGCGGCGGACGGGUGAGUAACACGUGGAUAACCUACCUAUAAGACUGGGAUAACUUCGGGAAACCGGAGCUAAUACCGGAUAACAUGUUGAACCGCAUGGUUCAACAGUGAAAGACGGUCUUGCUGUCACUUAUAGAUGGAUCCGCGUCGCAUUAGCUAGUUGGUAAGGUAACGGCUUACCAAGGCAACGAUGCGUAGCCGACCUGAGAGGGUGAUCGGCCACACUGGAACUGAGACACGGUCAAGACUCCUACGGGAGGCAGCAGUAGGGAAUCUUCCGCAAUGGGCGAAAGCCUGACGGAGCAACGCCGCGUGAGUGAAGAAGGUCUUCGGAGCGUAAAACUCUGUUAUUAGGGAAGAACAAAUGUGUAAGUAACUAUGCACGUCUUGACGGUACCGAAUCAGAAAGCCACGGCUAACUACGUG
Molecule: ribosomal RNA, 497 nt
Filed under: uncultured bacterium
Lineage: Bacteria
Description: partial 16S ribosomal RNA
Rfam family: Bacterial small subunit ribosomal RNA
Source: RNAcentral